UUAAGUCAGGCAACGAGCGAGACCCGUACCCACAGUUGCCAGCGGCUACUCCGGCAGGCUGGGUACACCGUGGGGACCGCCUCUGCUAAAGAGGAGGAAGGAGCGGGCGACGGUAGGUCAGUAUGCCCCGAAUUCUCCGGGCUACACGCGGGCUACAAUGGAUGGGACAAUGGGCUCCGACACCGAAAGGUGAAGGCAAUCUCUUAAACCCAUUCUUAGUUCGGAUUGAGGGCUGAAACUCGCCCUCAUGAAGCUGGAAUCCGUAGUAAUCGCGUUUCAACAUAGCGCGGUGAAUACGUCCCUGCUCCUUGCACA
This 315-nucleotide ribosomal RNA is filed under the name uncultured archaeon. RNAcentral's name for it is "bacterial SSU rRNA". It matches the Rfam family "Archaeal small subunit ribosomal RNA", at positions 1029 to 1343 of the family's 1478-position model. The record is from RNAcentral.